RNAcentral lists this ribosomal RNA (519 nucleotides) under uncultured eukaryote. Its description in RNAcentral is "SSU rRNA". It matches the Rfam family "Eukaryotic small subunit ribosomal RNA", at positions 1161 to 1699 of the family's 1831-position model. The record is from RNAcentral.
AGGGCACCACCAGGAGUGGAGCCUGCGGCUUAAUUUGACUCAACACGGGAAAACUCACCCGGCCCGGACACUGGAAGGAUUGACAGAUUGAGAGCUCUUUCUUGAUUCAGUGGGUGGUGGUGCAUGGCCGUUCUUAGUUGGUGGAGUGAUUUGUCUGGUUAAUUCCGAUAACGAACGAGACUCUAGCCUAUUAAAUAGAUCGUUGGCUACAAACGCCGGCGAGACUUCUUAGAGGGACAGGCGGCGAUUCAGCCGCACGAAACAGAGCAAUAACAGGUCUGUGAUGCCCUUAGAUGUCCGGGGCCGCACGCGCGCUACACUGAAGUGAUCAGCGUGCAUUUUGAAACCUACUCUGUCAAGAGUGGGGAACCCAAUGAACCUUCUUCGUGAUUGGGAUAGGGGAUUGUAAUUAUUCCCCUUGAACGAGGAAUUCCCAGUAAGCGCGAAUCAUAAGUUUGCGCUGAUUACGUCCCUGCCCUUUGUACACACCGCCCGUCGCUACUACCGAUUGAAUGUUUU